GACGAACGCUGGCGGCGUGCUUAACACAUGCAAGUGGAGCGACGAAACCGGGCUUGCCCGGUGGCAGAGCCGCGAACGGGUGAGUAACACGUGGGUAACCCGCCCCGAUGAUUGGGACAACUCCGGGAAACCGGAGCUAAUACCAAAUGUGUUCACAUUCCUGAAGGGGUGUGAGGAAAGGAAGCUUCGGCCUCCGCAUCGGGAUGGGCCCGCGGCCCAUUAGCUUGUUGGUGGGGUAACGGCCUACCAAGGCGACGAUGGGUAGCUGGUCUGGGAGGACGAUCAGCCACACUGGGACUGGGACACGGCCCAGACUCCUACGGGAGGCAGCAGUGGGGAAUCUUGCGCAACGCGCGAAAGCGUGACGCAGCAACGCCGCGUGCGGGAAGACGGCCUUCGGGUUGUAAACCGCUUUCAGUUGGGACGAAGCUUCGCCGGUGAAUAGCCGGCUGGAGUGACGGUACCUUCACAAGAAGCACCAGCUAACUACGUGCCAGCAGCCGCCGUAA
This 509-nucleotide ribosomal RNA is filed under the name uncultured bacterium. Its description in RNAcentral is "partial 16S ribosomal RNA". It matches the Rfam family "Bacterial small subunit ribosomal RNA", at positions 28 to 523 of the family's 1533-position model. The record is from RNAcentral.